Quercus robur (English oak) is the source of this 5415-nucleotide long non-coding RNA. RefSeq lists it as uncharacterized. The record is from RefSeq and is a predicted model, not a curated record. The transcript is spliced from 3 exons. Lineage: Eukaryota; Viridiplantae; Streptophyta; Magnoliopsida; Fagales; Fagaceae.
UUUUCUUUUUUUUUUGGUCCUCAGUCUCUUGCAAUCAUAAGAUCUAUACAAUUUUGGGCUCGUCUUAAAUUUCUAAUUCAUGUUCCUAUAACUGCUUUUCUUAGGCUUUGGUUUUUUGGACUGCUGUAAGUUCAGUCUCACCUAGUGAGGAUUUGAAAUUUCCCUUGCAAUUCUUGUUCCUCUGUCUUGUUUUGUUCAAUUUGAAUAUGGUAAUGCCUCUUAUUGUUGUGGGACAGGUAAAUGACAAAGUUUGUGACCUUAAGAUGGUUGCCGAGGGUAAAUAAUACAAAUUUUUGCUUUAUCUUGUCUUCAUUUACAUGAUUUGGGAUUCCUUGGAAUGACAUGGAUCUAACUUAUGUCUUUAGGUUUGCAUCAUAGUUCUUUUGAUAAAAGUUUGAAUGGUUUGCAUCAUAGGUUACGAUUACCAAGGAGCUAAUUCGUUCAGAAAGGUUUGUAUCAUAGUUCGUAACCUUAGAUUGUUGCUUAUUAAUUUCCUAGUUGUAGAAAGUGAGUGGGUAGAUACUGUCAUUGCUGAACCAAGUCCAUAUCCAGGCUGAAGUUUUUGCCAUUCUGGACUCAUAUUUGAGCUCUGAAGUUUUUGCCAUGCUUCUGUAUAAGUUGGUGAUGUCUAUUUUGUUGUUUUAUGUGGACAAUGUUUGAUUAUUUUUAUCUUGAUCUGCCUACAGGAUUGGAAACUGAUUUGGACUUUCUUGUACUUGAGCUGGCGAGUUUGUGUAGAAGUCUUAAAUCUUUCUUGAACUUAAACUGUGUAGACUACAACAAUAAGAAAUCUCACAUUGUCUUGAUUUUUCAUUUUGCUUAUGAGUCCUUUAAUAUAGUGUUCCCACUAACUGUGAUGCUAUACUAUUCCUUGUUCAAUUUAUUUGUAGGUUUUGGUCCUUGCUAGCUCUUUUAAGGCAUUUGUUUUGGUGAAGUUGACUUUCCUCAAUCGAAUUGGUCCUUCUCUAUAGGAGAACAAUUCCACAUUGUUGGCUGGCUGGUAAUUAUGAAUUUUAAAAGUUAAAUUAACAUUGUAAAAAAAAAAGAAAAAAAAAGAAAGUGCUUGCAUUAUGUGUAUUUUAGGCUCCAUUUGUUUGGUUUUAACUAAUCCCAGCAUUACUUGGCAUUUUUGUCCCUGAUCCUUUUUCUAACUGCUGUCUACGUGCACUUAUUACAGCUUUUAAGAACUUAAGAUCGUCAAUUUUGUCAUUGGGCAGUCAUAUAAGAUAACAGCAGCCAGCUUUAAAAAUGGUUGUUUGAAUGCCAGAAAAAAUAUAAGAUUUACCCUGUAUACUCUUCCAUUCGUUAUGCAACUUUUGCAAUUGUAGGUGCAUGUGAAAAUAUCUCACUGGGAAUAUUUUUUGGUGCUUGGCAGCUUAAGGCUUGUUGUUGUUGUUGGCAGCUUAAGUGAUGGAGUUUAGUUUGGUGAUAAGCAAUAUUUUCUUUCCCCAUCGUUUUCUUUAUUCUCUCCAUCAAUCAUAUGAAUUAUAAGCCACUAAAGUUUUGAGCUUUCUAUAUCUGUUUGGUCAUCCUGUGUUGGGAGUUUCAUAUCCAAUUUGGUUUGCCGCUUAUUAUCUAUCUACCGAAUGCAACAUUUUUUUUUUUAAUUAUUAUUUUUGUGGUAUGCCACUUAAGCAGUGGAGUCUGAUUUGGCAAUAGGCUCUCUUUUCCUCCCUUUUUAUGUUACUUCCUUUUCCUCUACUACAAUCAUAAGAAUUUGGAGGAUAAUUUUUUCUUGUUUUAAUGCCUUUCUAAUAGGGUAUGUGAAUGCUUUUCCUAGGAGAGUUACAAGUUCUAGUCUCCUAAGUGAGGUUUUGAAACUUCUACGGUAAUUUUUGUUCCUUUUACUUGCUGUCUCAUUUAAUUUUUGGUCAUUUUGUGUUGGCAACCUCAGUAAUGAAUACCCAGUUUAAGCCAGUGAUGUCUCUUAUUGGUGUGGAGCAGUAAUAUAGCCAUGUGUGACCUGAAUUUGGUUGUGGACGUAAAACAAUACAGGUUUUGCUUUCUCUUCUCUUAGCAGUAUUUGGAAUUUUUGGGAAUUACAAGGAAUUCACUUUAUAUUUCUAGAUUUGCUUCAUAAUUUGUUAAGUUGGAUUGUUGUUGAUUCUUUUCCGUGUCACCAAAUAUCUGGCAACAGGGAAGAGCUAGGCUUUCAGUGUUUUAAGUACUUAUCUUUAUAUUUGUUGGAUUAUAUUUAUUCCGAAAUAUAGUAAGUUUAUUUUAUUCAUUGUUUUGAAACUCUUAGUGUAUGCUAAAAAUCUAUUCCUCAUAAAUCUACAGGAACCGGUAUUUUCUUUUUGGAUACUUAGCAGAAGUGGUUUGAGUUUGAUAUAGUGAUAAGCUCUCUUUUUGUCCCGCUUUAAUCUCUUUCUUGCCAUCAUAAGAAUUAUACAAAUUUUGGCUCUUUUAAUUCUUUAUAAUAUCUGGGCCUGCUUUUGUUAGGCUUAGCUUUUCUGGACAGCCAUAAAUUCAAUGUCCCGCCUAGUGAGGGUUUGAAAUUUCCCUAGCAAUUAUAUUUCCUCUGUCCUGUCUUGUUUAAUUUUUUUCUCAUUCAAUCUGAAGAUGGUAAUGCCUCUUAUUGUUGUGGGGCAGGUAAAUUAACAAAUUUUGUAGCCGAUCUUUGCCAGGGAAAAAUAAUACAGGCUUUGGCUUUAUCCUGUUAUGAUUUGCAUGUGUUGGGCUUUGUAGGAACAGCAUGGAUCAAAUUUAUGUCUCUAGAAUUGCAUUAUAGUUUGUAACCUUAGAUUGUUGCUGAUUGCUUUCCUUGUCGUAGAAAGUGAGUGGGCAAAUACUGUUAAUAUCAAAUCAGGUUCAUUUUCAGUCUGAAGUUUUUGCUAUUUCUGGUCUCAUAUUUGAGCACUGAUUGACAUGUUUCUUUAUAAGCUGUAGAUGUCCAUCUUGUUGUUUUGUGUGGACAAUGUUGAUUAUUUUAAUCUUGAUCUAUCUACAGCUGGGGAAAUUGAGUUGUACUUUCUUGUACUUGAGCAGCUGAGUUUGUAUAAAAGUCUUACUUUUUUUUUUGAACUUGGCUGCAUUGACUGUAACAAUAAAAAGGCUCUUUUUUUUUGGGUUCUUGAAUUUCACAUUUUGCUUAUACGUCCUUAGUAUAGUGUCCCCACUAACAUGAUACUAUACUAUUUCUUGUUCAAUUUUCUUGUAGGUUUUGGUCCUUGACAGCUCUGUGAAGGCAUGUGUUUCUGUGAAGUUGGCUUUUCUAGAUUGAUUUGGUUCUUGUCUGUAGGAGCACAAUCCCUUAUUGUUGGCUGGCUGGUAAUGUUAAGUUUAAAAAUUCAAUUAACAUUGUAAAUGAAAAUUGUUGCUUGCAUUGUGUGUUUUUCAGGCUUCAUUUGUUUGGUUUUAACUAAUUACAGAACUACUUAGGAUUUUUGUCCUGGUUCCUUUCUCUAUUGCUGUCUACUUGCACUUCUUACUACUUUUAAGAACCUAAGGUCUUCAAUAUCAUCAUUGGGCAGUCAUAUAAGAUAAAAGCAGCCAGCUUCAAACAUGGUUGUUUUGAAUGUCAUCAAUUCUAGUCAUUUUUGCAACUUUUGCAAUUUUGGGUCCAUGUGAAAAAUUCUCUCCAGAUUUUUUUUGGUGCCAGGCAGCUCAAGCAGUAGAGUUUGGUUUGGCGAUAAGCUUCCUUUUUCCUCCCUUGUUUUCUUUAUUCUAUGCUACAAUCAAAUGAAUUAUAAGAAUAUUUUUCCAAUUGUUCUAAUUCCUUCUAAUACUUGGGACAUGUAUGCAUUUCUUAGGAUUUGGUUUCCUUGAGGAUUAUAAAUUCCAGUCACACUCAAUGAGGGUUUGAAACUUUCAUUGGAAUUCUUGUCCCCUUGUCCUGCUGACUCAUUCAAUUUUUAGUCAUUAUGUUUUGGCAAGCUGAUAUAUGAUUUUUUUAUAGUAGUUACAUUUAUUGGUGUGGGCAGAUCACGUGCCUUGGUGAUUGGCAUGAGUUGGGCCUUCUGGGCAUUACAUGAAGAAUUUGCAUCAUAAUCUGUAAUCUUAAGGUUAUUGCCGAUUGAUUUCCUCAUCAUAGAAAGUGAGUUGGCAGAUCUUGUCAAUAUCGAACCAAGUUGUUAAUCUGAAGUCUUUGUUAUUCUGGACUGUACAAUUUGGGCACUGAGUAACACAGGCAUCUUUAUAAGCUGGUGAUGAUCUCUUUUUGGUUUUAUGAACACAAUGUUGAUAAUUUUUAUUUUGAUUGUUUACUGGAGGCAAAACUGAUUUUGACUUACCUGUAUUUAUCGUGUAGAGAUGAGUUCUUUGAAAGAAAGUUUUUAUGGCAACUUCUGCAGUUUUGAGUGUGUGUUAAAAUCUCAAUCCUAACAUGUCUACAGGAAGCAGAUUUUUUUUUUUGGGACUUAUGGGGGAAGUUAGAUUCUGCAAUAAGAUCUCUUUUCCUUCUGUUAGUGUCUGCCUGUGAUGGUUUGAAACUUCCGUUGCAAUUCUUUUCCUUUUGUAAUACAGUCUUGUUUAGUUUUGAUCAUUCUGGUUGGUACAACUCAUCUCUUAUUUGUAUGGGUCAGGUAGAUUGGUAGUGAUGGUGAUCCAAAUUUGGUUGUGGAGGUAGAAUAAUACUGGUUUUUGCUUUGCCCUGUGAUUGGCAAUAAGUUGGCUUUAUAAUAUAUCCGAUCUGCCUGCUUUAAAGACUUGCUGUUCUCUAAAUGCCUGAGAAAUGUGAGUAUCUGCUUCCUUAUGUACACUAUAGGUAGAUUCCUCUUAUUGAUGUGGGGCAGGUAGAUUGAUGUCAAUGCUUUUGUUGCCAAGGGAGAAUUAUAUAGUUUAUUGGUUUGUCCUGUAAUUGCCAUUAGUUGGGGUUUUCUGUAAAUGAAAUGCUUUUAACUUACGUAUUUGAAUUUUGCAUCAUUAUUCAUAUAAUAUGUUGCUAAUUGAUUUCCAAUUCAAAGAAAAUGAGUGAGUAGAUGCCAUCAAGACUUCUUUAUAAGUUGGUGAUGUUUAUUUUGUGGUUGUGACGAGUACUUUCCUAGCUCCUACAAUUGUUUUGUAUGUUGAAACAAAAAUGUUUGAUUAUUUAAACUUGAUAUGUAUGCUGGAGGGGAAAUUGUGAUUUGGGCUUUCUUGUACUUGAGCAACAGAGUUUUUGUAAAAGUCUUGCUUAAAAAUGGUGCUUGAGCUGUGUAAUUGAAUGUGACAAUUGAAAACUCCUUUUAUUCUUUCGUCUUCAUUCUUCUCUUAUUAAUCUUUUGAUAUACUCUUCCUCGAAUGUGUUUACCAUUCCUAGUUGUUCAAUUUGUUUUAUAGAUUUCGGUGCUAGGCUACUUUUCAAGGCAUUUUUUGCAGCAAAUUUGGCAUCUAGAUCGACAGUAAUUUCCUCUUAAAUUUGCAUAAAAAAGAAGGUAAUUUCCUCUUUAACUACUUACUUGACUCUUUAUUCUUGUUAUCUUUUGCUUUUUUUUU